UGGGGAAUAUUGGACAAUGGGCGCAAGCCUGAUCCAGCCAUACCGCGUGGGUGAAGAAGGCCUUCGGGUUGUAAAGCCCUUUUGUUGGGAAAGGAAUCCAGCCGGUUAAUACCUGGUUGGGAUGACGGUACCCAAAGAAUAAGCACCGGCUAACUUCGUGCCAGCAGCCGCGGUAAUACGAAGGGUGCAAGCGUUACUCGGAAUUACUGGGCGUAAAGCGUGCGUAGGUGGUUGUUUAAGUCUGUUGUGAAAGCCCUGGGCUCAACCUGGGAACUGCAGUGGAAACUGGAUAACUAGAGUGUGGUAGAGGGUAGCGGAAUUCCCGGUGUAGCAGUGAAAUGCGUAGAGAUCGGGAGGAACAUCCAUGGCGAAGGCAGCUACCUGGACCAACACUGACACUGAGGCACGAAAGCGUGGGGAGCAAACAGGAUUAGAUACCCUGGUAGUCCACGCCCUAAACGAUGCGAACUGGAUGUUGGGUGCAAUUUGGCACGCAGUAUCGAAGCUAACGCGUUAAGUUCGCCGCCUGGGGAGUACGGUCGCAAGACUGAAACUCAAAGGAAUUGACGGGGGCCCGCACAAGCGGUGGAGUAUGUGGUUUAAUUCAAUGC
This 611-nucleotide ribosomal RNA is filed under the name uncultured Stenotrophomonas sp. Its description in RNAcentral is "bacterial SSU rRNA". It matches the Rfam family "Bacterial small subunit ribosomal RNA", at positions 355 to 957 of the family's 1533-position model. The record is from RNAcentral. Lineage: Bacteria; Pseudomonadati; Pseudomonadota; Gammaproteobacteria; Lysobacterales; Lysobacteraceae.